ACUCCUACGGGAGGCAGCAGUGAGGAAUAUUGCGCAAUGGGGGAAACCCUGACGCAGCGACGCCGCGUGGAUGAUGAAGGCCUUAGGGUCGUAAAAUCCUGUCAGGUGGGAAGAAAUGCAUAUGUACUAAUACUACUUAUGUUUGACGGUACCACCAAAGGAAGCACCGGCUAACUCCGUGCCAGCAGCCGCGGUAAUACGGAGGGUGCAAACGUUGUUCGGAAUUACUGGGCGUAAAGCGCGCGUAGGCGGUUUGUUAAGUCAGAUGUGAAAGUCCAUAGCUCAACUAUGGAAGUGCAUUUGAAACUGGCAGACUUGAGUACUGGAGGGGGUGAUGGAAUUCCCGGUGUAGAGGUGAAAUUCGUAGAUAUCGGGAGGAAUACCGGUGGCGAAGGCGAUCACCUGGCCAGAUACUGACGCUGAGGUGCGAAAGCGUGGGGAGCAAACAGGAUUAGAUACCCCAGUAGUCC
This 470-nucleotide ribosomal RNA is filed under the name uncultured bacterium. Its description in RNAcentral is "bacterial SSU rRNA". It matches the Rfam family "Bacterial small subunit ribosomal RNA", at positions 335 to 796 of the family's 1533-position model. The record is from RNAcentral.